UAUUGGACAAUGGGCGAAAGCCUGAUCCAGCAAUUCCGCGUGAGCGAAGAAGGCCUUCGGGUUGUAAAGCUCUUUCGGCAGGGACGAUAAUGACGGUACCUGCAGAAGAAGCCCCGGCCAACUACGUGCCAGCAGCCGCGGUAACACGUAGGGGGCGAGCGUUGUCCGGAUUUAUUGGGCGUAAAGAGCUCGUAGGCGGUUUCGUAAGUCGGGUGUGAAAACUCCAGGCUCAACCUGGAGACGCCACCCGAUACUGCGAUGACUAGAGUCCGGUAGGGGAGCGUGGAAUUCCUGGUGUAGCGGUGAAAUGCGCAGAUAUCAGGAGGAACACCAACGGCGAAGGCAGCGCUCUGGGCCGGAACUGACGCUGAGGAGCGAAAGCGUGGGUAGCGAACAG
RNAcentral lists this ribosomal RNA (397 nucleotides) under uncultured bacterium. Its description in RNAcentral is "bacterial SSU rRNA". It matches the Rfam family "Bacterial small subunit ribosomal RNA", at positions 362 to 775 of the family's 1533-position model. The record is from RNAcentral.